This 668-nucleotide ribosomal RNA is filed under the name uncultured fungus. Its description in RNAcentral is "eukaryotic LSU rRNA". It matches the Rfam family "Eukaryotic large subunit ribosomal RNA", at positions 24 to 664 of the family's 3401-position model. Lineage: Eukaryota; Fungi. The record is from RNAcentral.
CCCGCUGAACUUAAGCAUAUCAAUAAGCGGAGGAAAAGAAACUAACAAGGAUUCCCCUAGUAACUGCGAGUGAAGCGGGAAAAGCUCAAAUUUAAAAUCUGGCGGUCUUUGGCCAUCCGAGUUGUAAUUUAGAGAAGUGUCUUCCGCGCUGGACCAUGCACAAGUCUCCUGGAAUGGAGCGUCAUAGAGGGUGAGAAUCCCGUCUUUGGCAUGGACACACCAGGGCUUCUGUGAUGCGCUCUCGAAGAGUCGAGUUGUUUGGGAAUGCAGCUCAAAAUGGGUGGUGAACUCCAUCUAAAGCUAAAUAUUGGCGAGAGACCGAUAGCGAACAAGUACCGUGAGGGAAAGAUGAAAAGCACUUUGGAAAGAGAGUGAAACAGUACGUGAAAUUGUUGAAAGGGAAACGCUUGAAGUCAGUCGCGUCGGCCGAGACUCAGCCUUGCCUCGGCUUGGUGUAUUUCUUGGCCCGACGGGUCAGCAUCAAUUUUGCCCCUUGGAUAAUGGCUAGGGAAAUGUGACACCUUUAUAGGUGUGUUAUAGUCUCUCGUCGCAUGCAAGGGUCAGGAUUGAGGAACUCAGCAUGCACCUUCGGGUGUCGGGGCUUUUGUCCACGAUACAUGCUUAGGAUGUUGGCGUAAUGGCUUUAAACGACCCGUCUUGAAACACGG